This is a long non-coding RNA of Alexandromys fortis (reed vole), 4481 nucleotides long. RefSeq lists it as uncharacterized. Lineage: Eukaryota; Metazoa; Chordata; Mammalia; Rodentia; Cricetidae. The record is from RefSeq and is a predicted model, not a curated record. The transcript has 3 exons.
CAGUGUAGGUAGAUAGGUAGGUGGGCUCACCUGUAUGCAUGUACGUGUGAGCCACAAGUUGAUCCUGGAUAUUUUCCUCCAUGGCUCUCCAGCUUGUUUUUUGAGCAAGGUCUCUCCGUGAACUCAUAAUUCAACAUUUGGGCUAGAAUGGCUGUGCAGCCAGUCCCUGGGGUUUGUUCCUCAUUGCAGCUAUUACAGACACGUAACAAUGGGCCCAGCUUUUACUUGGGUGCUGAGAAUCCAAACUUAUGCUUGUCAGCAAGUGCUUUACUGUCUGAGCACCCUCUCAAUCUGUGACUGCACUUUCGGUUUUUCUUCUUCAGUCAGUGUUAGGUAUGUGUUUUUCCAUCAGCCAGUGUUAGGUGUGUGUUUCUCUGUCAAUGUUAGGUGUGUGUUUUUCCAUCAGUCAGUGUUAGGUGUGUGUUUUUCUGUCAAUGUUAGGUGUGUGUUUUUCCAUCAGUCAGUGUUAGGUGUGUGUUUUUCUGUCUGACAGUGUUAGGUGUGUGUUUUUCCAUCAGCCAGUGUUAGGUUUGUGUUUCUUUUCUAUCGGCUCUAGUGUUAAGUAUGUGUUUUUCUGUCUGUCAGAGUUAGGUGUAUUUUAUUUUAAUUUUUUUCUUUUUCCAUAUUUGGUCUUCCCAUAUAAGAAGGAUUCGGCUUUGGUUUUUAAAACUUGAUCUGGUUGCUUAGCACACUUCUUCCUGAUGACUUUCCCAUUAGGACAGAUAACAGAGGAGAGAGAAGUGGAAGGAAGAAGGGAUAACUGACUGUACAUUGUGUCUCCUUGACGAAAGGGCAGGAAACUGAGUUCCCUGUUCUUUUGUGAGAAUGCACGAGACUGAGGACAUUAUUUCCAAAUAUUGUUAACCAAUUGCUGCUUUGAUUUCUAGCCACAGUCCUUAAUUCAAAUGAUAUAAUAGUAAAAAACGAAACUGGAAGGGACAUUAAUGGUCCUUUGGGAAUCUGCAAAGCUGAAGCCCUAGACUGAGAAGAGAGGGGCUCUUUGUCAGCGUGUGCCACUGACCAGCAGUCAGGCUGGACCAUCCGUUCAGAUCCCAGCACAGACCUCCUCUGUCACUAUUACACAGCAGCUUAUUCUCAUGGUCUAUUCUUCAUGCUUAUUUAAGCCUCCUAGGUGACCAAACAGCACAUGUCUCCAUUUAUGGUAAAAAUCAUCCAUCCCUCGGUUUCCUCAUCAUAAAGUCUGUUAGCCUUAAAAGGAUGCUCCCAGUAUCCCCCGUUACUGAAAACUCUAUUUUCUAGUCUUCCAAGUAUCAUAGAAGUUCUAAGUAAAUCUGAGAUGCCGUGACUGCAUCUCAUCCACAGACCUCUUGUGAUUUUAUUGUUUCUUAAUAAAUGUAACAAUCAUUUCACACAGACUUUAAUGAUUCACAGUAGCACAGACACUGUGUAUGUUAGUCCCUGUCACGGUAACAAAACGCCUGAGAUGACAACUAAAAAAGAAGAAAGGUUUAUGAUUCUCACUCUUGGAGGUUUCACCACACGCCCAUUGACUCCAUUCCUUUUGGAUCUGGUGAGGCCGGCAGGGUAUUAUGAUGGGAGCAGCAGGCAGAGAGAGCCUUCACCCCAUGGCCAGAGCGAAUGAGAGACAGACAAAGAGUUGAGAGUCCCCUAAUCCCUUCAAGGACAUGCUCCUAAUGACCUAGUUCACUUCCAGUCAACCCCAUCUCUUAAAGGUUCCUCUGUCACCCAGCAAUGCCACGGGCUGGGGACCAUGGCUUCAACAAAUGGGCCUCUGGAGGAGUAUUUAAGAUUUGAACUGUAGUAUAGUGUCAGGCACUUUCCUGGAGAGCAGUUGUUGUUUUCCCCCCUAUUCCAGAGAGAAACUUGGAGAUUUACACAGUUUUGUGCUUCUGUGGACGUUCAGGUGAAGUGAACAGUAGUCUAAGAGUUAAAGCCACAUGGUCUUGUUGCAGAGUCUGUGUCUUUCGACAUUGUGUGAUUCCCUGCACCUUGCUUCCUUCAGGGUCCUGUACCACUCCCUCAACGUGCAAUCCGCCUUUACAUACUUCCUCCUGGUCUGUUGUCAAUUUCCUAUCUCUUUACAGUCCUAAGCCCUGUUGAUUCUGAAUGCCAGCCCUGUCCUUUGUCUCCAAGUCCAGAUUUCUGAGCAGUUUCAGUUGCAUUGAACACACUGUGCUUACUGAUCCUCCUUGAUCCUAGUCAAAGAACCUCUUCCUGGCUUUCUUUCCCAUCUACCUGCCUGUAGUUCUGUGUAGAUGUUCGUGCAGGUGGUUCACAGUUCACUCAAGACAAGGUAGUCCCUUGGGUGGACAGUGGAGGGAGGGGAUCGUUAGAGGCCUUUUUGAGUUUUCUGGGAGACAUCCUAGCUCUAGGCCAGAAGUAUAGAGCUGAAUACUGAAGACGUUUUUGAUAACAGUUACCUGUAAACAGGUAAGAAGUAUUUUUUCCCCUAUGGAAAAUACCACACUUUUUUUUACAAGGACAGAUGGUAUCUUCUUCCCUUUGGGAAUUCAUGGACACAUUUUUGUCAAAAAGAAAGCUGAAGAGAUAAUAUUGGAAAGAGCCAACACGCUUUGUGAGAGGGCCCUCCAGCCUCCAUUCUGCAUCUGUAAAGACAGCCGUGAGGACACGCUCUUACAUACGAGAAAAGCAAGCCCACGGCAGUUUCUGUAAGUUCCAAUGACCCAGUGCAUCCAGCUACAGUAAUCGCUUGAAAAGGAAACCAAGACCAAAAUUUGGAAGGAAUCUCUCCCCACUCCCUAGUUCCAGCUGCUCGGCUAUCUUUGGUUUAAACAGUACUAUUUCUGUCAGGGUACAGCAUCUCUUUGUUUCUUUGAAGCCUGGGCUUUGCUUUGCUUGGAAGUGUUCAUCUGGUUUUCACUCCCUUCCUCUCUUAUCCAUAUUUUUUUUUGUUGUUUUCAAAUAAGCCUUUCACUUUGUACAACAUUUUUUUUGCUUCCCGAUAUUAUUUGUCUCUUGCUCAUAGGAUGUUCUUUGCCAUCUAAUUUUAGAUCACACAUAAUGCCUGAGAAGCAGCCUCUCUUUUGGAGGAAUAAACACCAUGGUUAAGAUGUCACUUCUCAUAAAUCAGCAUUGGAGAAGAUGAAGACAGCUGUGGUAGGGGAGCGGGGGCCAGGAACUCACAAAGUCUGACCCUUUCAAAGUCGACUUAAUCCUCCUCUUAUCCCUGUCUACUGCAGUCUUGGAGAGUGGAAGGGCCCUCUUUAACAUGAAGAAAUGAGCUUUUGCAUUGUUUGCCUUUGUCACAACAACAAAAGCUCUGGAAAAUUCCAAUUAAUUAGCAAGCCUUGGGCUAAUGAAAGAAUAAAACCGAAAGAGAAAUGCUCUGAGCUCUCAGAGAGGCGUAAGCAUGUGAGCACAAUGCCGAUUUCAAAUAUUUGGGGCUGUUUGUAUAAUUUUCCCAGGGUUGGCCUUCCUGAGCCUCACGGCGAUAAGACGCGAGAGACAAGAACCAGGAUUUGUCAGAGUUAGGCUGCAAUAACACGACUGGCUUUUAAGGACAGUAAGUGACCCACCGUCAUUUGAAGAAGGCAGUUAAAUGUGAGCUCACACGCUCAGGGAAAUUAAAACCAGAAAGAAGAGCUUUGUGCGUUUGUAUUUAGAGGAAGACACGAGGAUUAGGUCAAUGUGAAGAAGAUUAUGAAUUAAGUUUAAAUUUAAUUAUUAGGAAGGGCCAGGAAAUCGCUACACUAUUGUAGAACUGAUUGAAGAUUUGCACCUAAUAAGGCUACAGACAUGGGCGAUGAUGAAAACCUCCGAAAUCACUCCUUUGUUGUCUUCAUAUUUUAUGCAAAUUAUUAUUAUCAUUAUUAUUAUUAAUCAUCUCAUCUCGAAAUCACUACAAUCUAACAUACUGAUUGUGCCUGUUCUGGGCAUCCUUCGUCAUUCUUCAACAGCGCUGUUGAGACUGUAGACAUUCUGUGUUGAUGUGAUUAAAGAUUUUCACUUUGUGUUUGUGCUUGAGGAUUUUUUUCCAACUCUGCUUUCUUCAUGGAGAACAUGGAGGAUGACGAAGCUCCUAAAUGGCGGCUUACAUGGAUUAGUGAUGGAUCCAGGUUUGAAUCUAGGCAGCCAACUUUUGGUGUCCUCAGUCUGUCCUACCUUGCUAUGCUGGCUAUGGAAUACAGUUUAACUGUGACGGCAGAAAUCAGGCCAGAGAGGUUAGAUGCUACCAAAUUGAACUUGAAGCCCGUGAGUUGGCGGCUUUAUCCUCAGCUUGUUGUCUACUUGCUUCUAUCAUCAUGGACUAAUCACUCAUCAUUCCUGGCAUGUCUAUUUCUUGAACAAGCUUGUCCUUGGAUGAUAGCUAAGAUAUUUUCAGGUUUGAGCAUACCACCGAGUGAGGAAGCAGGUAAAUGAAAGAACUUUUGAGGCUUGAAGUGCUUGUGUACUCUUGAAAUGCAUUAGACCCAAGUUCUAAGCAUAUCUACAUUCAAAGUACUUUAUAUGGUAGGACUUGGUGUCUUUCUCAUGAUGAU